This 1070-nucleotide unclassified non-coding RNA is filed under the name Hevea brasiliensis (rubber tree). Lineage: Eukaryota; Viridiplantae; Streptophyta; Magnoliopsida; Malpighiales; Euphorbiaceae. The record is from RNAcentral.
AGAAAAUGGGGAGGGAGUUGUUCCUGGGACUUCUUGUGGCUUUGGUGGUGGGAAUUGGUGGCUGUAGUAGAGCUUAUGGUGAAGUUUCUCAAGUUACCAUGACAAAGAUUGGUAGAGUAAAUGAGGAGGGUCCAUACUUAGGUAUUGUAGUGCCAAAUGCCUUUGAGAUGAACCCACUUCUCCAGUCCCCAAGUUUUAUGGCUGAUACUGAGCUUCCUUACUUGGACUUCUCAGGGAGAAGAUUUAGGAUUGGAGAAGUGGAAACUGUGAAGGUGAUAAUUGUCAUGACUGGAUUAAGCAUGCUAAAUGCAGGUGUAACCACACAAUUACUGCUAAGUCUGUUCAAGGUGAGUGGUGUUGUCCACUAUGGAAUUGCAGGAAAUGCAAAUCCUUCACUCCAAAUUGGAGAUGUAACUAUCCCUCAAUACUGGGCUCACACUGGCCUCUGGAGUUGGCAGAGGUAUGGAGACGGGUCUAAUGACGAACUCCCCUUAGAAUCUAAUGGAGACUACACCAGGAAAUUUGGUUUUCUUGAAUUUUCUGAUUACAACAACAAAACUCAUGCAAAAAAUGGGAAAUCAGUCGAAAACCUUUUAAACAGAGUCUGGUUCCAACCAGAAGAGACUUUUCCAGUAAAUGGAAUUCCUGAAGUUAGGCAGCACGCCUAUUGGGUUCCUGUAGACAAGCAUUACUUCCAAGUUGCAAAGAAAGUUCAGGAUUUGAAGUUAAGGGGAUGCGUGAAUUCGACUUGCUUACCAAGAACACCUAUGGUGGUGAGAGUCAAAAGGGGUAUUAGUGCUAAUGUUUUCGUGGACAACGGUGCCUAUAGAGGGUUCCUCAACUCCAAAUUCAAUGCAACUCCAAUUGACAUGGAGAGUGCAGCAGUAGCCCUAGUGUGUAACCAGCAGCAGAAGCCUUUCAUUGCUAUCAGAGCUCUGUCAGAUUUAGCAGGUGGGGGUUCUGCUCUUUCCAAUGAAGCUGACAUCUUUUCCUCCUUGGCUGCUCAAAAUGCUGUCGAUGCUUUACUUAAAUUCAUUUCCUUGUUGUUUGCUUAAUUGCUUAUCUCAUCA